ACCAUGCAGGAGCUGUGGAGAUUAACGGU
This 29-nucleotide non-coding RNA is filed under the name Homo sapiens (human). The record is from RNAcentral. Lineage: Eukaryota; Metazoa; Chordata; Mammalia; Primates; Hominidae.